GUAACAUUCCCCUGUUGGGACUCUCACCUCCCCUCCUCACUCAGAACACGUUCCACUUACCACACUCUCACUCAUGGAAGCAAACUGAAUUUUAGGACUUUUCAAACGUUAUCAUGAUUUUUCAAGCGCUUUUUGAUUGUAUGGACUUUACCAGCUGGUUGCUGGUGACUUUAGCUGCGUUACUUGUGACGGAUGUGGUCAGAAACUGGAGACCACACAACUUUCCACCAGGACCGUGGGCGCUGCCUUUUCUAGGAAACAUCUUCACAGGACUGGACUUCCAAUCAAUAAAUAAGCUUGCUGAGCAGUACGGUCCAGUGUUCAGCUUGAGGAAAGGCAGCACGAGGAUGGUGUUUGUCUCCGGCUACAAGAUGGUCAAAGAGGCUCUCGUCAACCAGAUGGACAGCUUUGUUGAUCGACCGGUUGUUCCUCUCUUCCACAAAACCUUCAAGGGGAUUGGUAUAGCUAUGAGCAAUGGUUACCUCUGGAAGCAGCAGAGGAAGUUUGCCAACACUCACCUGCGUUACUUUGGAGAGGGUCAGAGGUCGCUGGAAAAAUACAUUCAGGUUGAAAGCGAGUUCUUGUGUGAAGCUUUCAAAGAGGAACAAAGAGGACCGUUCAAUCCCCACUACACCAUAACGACCGCAGUGGGCAACAUCAUCUCCUCUGUGGUCUUUGGACAGCGCUUUGAAUACAGCGAUCCGAGCUUUCGAACAGUUCUGGAGCUGGACAAUGAGGCCGUCCUGCUCGCCGGCUCUCCUCUGGUUCAGCUGUAUGAUGUGUACCCCAGCUUACUGGACCACCUGCCAGGACCUCACCAGACUCUCCACGGAAACUACAGGGAGAUCAUGGCUUUCCUGGCAAAGCAAGUAGAGAAGCACCGGGAAGAGUGGAACCCUGAGGACCCCCGGGACUUUAUUGACGUAUACCUGGCAGAGAUGGAAAAGAAAAAGGAGGAUCCCCAGGCGGGCUUUAACAUUGAAAGCCUGCUGGUUUGCACUCUCGACCUGAUUGAGGCUGGGACCGAAUCAUCUUCCACCACUUUACGCUGGGCCCUCGUCUACAUGAUGCACCACCCAGAGAUACAAGAGAAAGUCCAGGCGGAGAUCGACCGAGUGAUUGGAGAGUCUCGUCAGCCCGCCGCGGCCGACCGACCCAACCUGCCCUUUACAGACGCCGUCAUCCACGAGAUUCAAAGGAUGGGGAACAUCGUUCCUUUGGGUUUCCCCAAAAUGGCCACUAAAGACGCUACACUGGGAGGAUAUUUAAUACCCAAAGGUACAAGUCUGACGACAGCUCUGGGAUCUGUGCUGUUUGACAAGAAUGAGUGGGCGACUCCUGAAAACUUCAAUCCUGAGCAUUUCUUGGAUUCAGAGGGAAAGUUCCGCAGAAGAGAGGCCUUCCUACCGUUUUCUGCAGGUAAACGUGCGUGUGUAGGAGAACAUCUGGCCAGGAUGGAGCUGUUCCUUUUCUUUACGUCUCUGCUCCAGCGCUUCACCUUCUCUCCUGUUCCUGGAGAGAUGCCCAGCCUGCACGGAAUUCUGGGCUUCACCUAUUCCCCCCAAGAGUUCCGCAUCCUGGCUGAGCCUCGCUGAAUUGCUCCCCCUGCUACUGCUGACCGCAGUAUCCCCACGUUCUCUCUGACACAAGAGUUUUGUGGAUUUUAAGCAGAAGUGUUAGAAUUGUAGUUUGUGUGUUAUUAGAUAUUAGUUAUUAUAUUAGUAUGCAAUAUGAGUUAAACAAGUCAUUUAAUUACUGUACAAGAGGGUUUUUUGAAAGUUUUCUCCUGUCAGGACAUUUAGGAGCAGAGGAUGUAGGACAGCCCUACAGGGCCACUGUUUUGAUUUUGGACCAUAUAAACGGAGAUAAACAUAAUGGUUAAAAUGUGAUCGACUGUGAUGAUUCAAUAUGUGGUAUUAUUAAAGUGUACUAGCUAUUAGAUGACACUCAAUAUUAUGCAUGCUUUGUUUACAUAAAGAAGCAUUAAGCGAAAGGUCUGAUCAUUGAAUGUCUUGUAAUAUUAUGUGAAUGGCCAUCGGUUGGGUCAGGGAGGGAGUACAGAUUCGGCCAUCAGAUAGAGAUCAGGGAGAUAAAUGGCUGGAAGCAGAAAGGAGGGAGGAGCUACGUUUGAACGUGCAGCAAAUCACAUACGGCUGCAAAAUGAUUGACACACCCGUGAGAUUCAAAUAGACUGUACUGGGGAGAGACAGAAUCUGUGGAGAUACAUGAUUAGAGGUCGGAAUCGACUGUGUAUUUUGCAAAAUAUUAUGCUAUUCAUACCGCUUCUGUUUAUUAUUAAAAUUCGUUUCGAAUUUUAAA
Non-coding RNA from Gasterosteus aculeatus aculeatus (three-spined stickleback), 2319 nucleotides. The record is from RefSeq and is a predicted model, not a curated record. NCBI's taxonomy places the organism in Eukaryota, Metazoa, Chordata, Actinopteri, Perciformes, Gasterosteidae.